This 82-nucleotide transfer RNA is filed under the name Candida albicans Ca529L. Its description in RNAcentral is "tRNA-Ser (GCT) (tRNA-Ser-GCT-2-1)". It matches the Rfam family "tRNA". From Rfam's summary of the family: Transfer RNA (tRNA) molecules are approximately 80 nucleotides in length. Their secondary structure includes four short double-helical elements and three loops (D, anti-codon, and T loops). Lineage: Eukaryota; Fungi; Ascomycota; Pichiomycetes; Serinales; Debaryomycetaceae. The record is from RNAcentral.
GUCAUGAUGUCCGAGUGGUUAAGGAGUUGCCCUGCUAAGGCAAUGGGCUCUGCCUUCGCAGGUUCGAAUCCUGUUCACGACG